This is a non-coding RNA of Ochotona princeps (American pika), 200 nucleotides long. NCBI's taxonomy places the organism in Eukaryota, Metazoa, Chordata, Mammalia, Lagomorpha, Ochotonidae. The record is from Rfam.
UGGCAAAAUGGAUCUAGCUUUCCCUGAUUUGUCUGCUUUGUAGGUACACGGGGCUGCCAGUCUGACAGUUUGCGUUGGCAAUAAAUCACCAUCAGAUAUUUUAUUUCAAAAUUGGCACUGACUUGGUGAAGGUAAGGGAUUGUCAAUUCAUUUUUAUUUUGAGGCCAGGCGAUGAUAACACACAAAAGUCACCUGGAAAC